This 1015-nucleotide unclassified non-coding RNA is filed under the name Actinia tenebrosa (Australian red waratah sea anemone). RNAcentral describes it as "estradiol 17-beta-dehydrogenase 8-like, transcript variant X1". The record is from RNAcentral. Lineage: Eukaryota; Metazoa; Cnidaria; Anthozoa; Actiniaria; Actiniidae.
ACUGGGUUGCCUGUGGUAUGUGUUUUCAACAUGGCGGCUGCGAAUGGUCUCUUACUUUCAGGCCGCUUAGCUCUUGUAACAGGUGGUGCUAGUGGGAUAGGAAGAGCCAUAUGCCAGACACUAGCCAAAGCCGGUGCAUCAGUAGCAGUUGUAGAUAGAAAUAUUGAAGGUGCCAAGGAAACUGGCAACAGCCUUUCAAAAAAUGAUGGCAAUCAGCUGCAUUCUUACCAUGCCACUGACGUAGUCUCAUCACUUCAAGUUAAUAAAUUGAUCUUGAAAGUGCAAGAAGAUCAUCAGAGACCACCUUGUAUCUUGGUUAAUUCUGCAGGAAUCACAAGAGAUGCUUUCUUCUUGAAGAUGAAUGAAGAGGCUUUUGAUGAAGUUAUUGAUGUCAACCUCAAAGGUACAUUCUUGAUGUCACAAUUUGCAUCCAAAGCAAUGGUUGAAAGCAAGAUAAGCAAUGGUUCCAUAAUCAACAUUGCUAGUAUUGUCGGAAAGACAGGCAACAUAGGUCAAGCAAACUAUACAGCUUCAAAGGCAGGGGUUGAAGGCUUGACAAGAACAUGUGCUCUUGAGCUGGCAAGGUUUGGUAUCAGGUGUAAUGCCGUUCUUCCUGGAUUCAUUCAUUCUCCCAUGACUGAGAAAAUCCCAGAACAAAUUACUCAAAAAAUAGUAAAAAUGGUCCCCUUGAGUCGUAUCGGACAACCAUCAGAAAUAGCAGAGGUGGUCAAUUUUCUGGCCUCAGACCUCAGCAGCUACAUUACUGGAGCCUCUAUUGAAGUGACAGGAGGACUAUCAAUGUAAUCCAGCAACUUUGAAACACCAUUUUUAGUAUCAGUACUUUGAUCUUCCAUAAAAUAGAGAAGUUAUAUUGGACAAAUGAAAAAAGCCAAGUUGCUAUGGCGACAAGGAAUAACAUCUUCAUGCUUAUAGUUAUCCUUGCCAAAUAAGGUACAGGGACCCCAGGCAAGACUAUUAUGUCAGCAUAUAACAGCAGAUAUUUGUGUAUCCAACA